This 71-nucleotide transfer RNA is filed under the name Marmota monax (woodchuck). RNAcentral describes it as "tRNA.Ala". Lineage: Eukaryota; Metazoa; Chordata; Mammalia; Rodentia; Sciuridae. The record is from RNAcentral.
GGGGUUGUGGCUCAGUGGUAGAGUGCUUGUCUAGCAUGUACGAGGCACUGGAUUUGAUCCCCAGCACCACA